UUCUGUUUGUUCCAUCUCCCCCCCCCUUCCCCGCUUCCUUUUGCUACAGCUGCUUUCCUUUCCUUCUCCUCCCCACAGUCCUCCAGAAAUGCUCGCCUCAGCCUGGGAAAGCCAAGAGAAGCACUGCGGAAGAAGGCGGCAGGCCUGCCGAGUGGGAGACCUUCACGGCUCCCACCCAAGGUGAAAAAAUUCUGUCUCUGGCUGCCCACCCUGCAGCUCCCCGUGGAGGGAAGCGUGCCGCUUGAACUGGAAAACCACCACAGGGAAGAAUAAGAAAAGCCGAGGGUGAAAAAGAAUUCAGGACUGGUUGUUUUUCUCAAAGGAUUUGCAAUCUUCAGACAAGAAGAGGCGUGACAGAAGAGAACAAAGGAAGUGAAAAGGACCUGAUGAAGUUUAAAGUCCUGCUUCCUAACCAUGAGGACUAGUAUCACACUUGUCAUUUUAAAAGAAACAAAAUGAAAGCAUGGCUUCUUAAGACUUCUGUGGGAGUGGGGAUAGAAAAGGGGAUAUACAUGUCUGAAUUUAACAAGAAAAAUCCUUAUUCUCUA
Molecule: long non-coding RNA, 548 nt
Organism: Eublepharis macularius
Lineage: Eukaryota; Metazoa; Chordata; Lepidosauria; Squamata; Eublepharidae
Exons: 2
Source: RefSeq, a predicted model, not a curated record